UGGGGAAUAUUGCACAAUGGGCGCAAGCCUGAUGCAGCAACGCCGCGUGAGGGACGACGGCCUUCGGGUUGUAAACCUCUUUUAGUAGGGAAGAAGCGAAAGUGACGGUACCUGCAGAAAAAGCACCGGCUAACUACGUGCCAGCAGCCGCGGUAAUACGUAGGGUGCGAGCGUUGUCCGGAAUUAUUGGGCGUAAAGAGCUCGUAGGCGGUCUGUCGCGUCUGCUGUGAAAACCCGAGGCUCAACCUCGGGCCUGCAGUGGGUACGGGCAGACUAGAGUGCGGUAGGGGAGAAUGGAAUUCCUGGUGUAGCGGUGGAAUGCGCAGAUAUCAGGAGGAACACCGAUGGCGAAGGCAGUUCUCUGGGCCGUAACUGACGCUGAGGAGCGAAAGCGUGGGGAGCGAACAGGAUUAGAUACCCUGGUAGUCCACGCCGUAAACGUUGGGCGCUAGAUGUGGGGACCAUUCCACGGUUUCCGUGUCGCAGCUAACGCAUUAAGCGCCCCGCCUGGGGAGUACGGCCGCAAGGCUAAAACUUAAAUGAAUUGACGGGGUCAUAGCUG
This 562-nucleotide ribosomal RNA is filed under the name uncultured bacterium. RNAcentral describes it as "partial 16S ribosomal RNA". It matches the Rfam family "Bacterial small subunit ribosomal RNA", at positions 355 to 932 of the family's 1533-position model. The record is from RNAcentral.